UCCUACGGGGCGCAGCAGUCGAGAAUUUUUCACAAUGGGCGAAAGCCUGAUGGAGCGACGCCGCGUGGGGGAUGAAGGGCUUCGGCCCGUAAACCCCUGUCAUUUGCGAACAAACCUUUCCCGUGAAUAGCGGGAGAGCUGAUGGUAGCGAAAGAGGAAGGGACGGCUAACUCUGUGCCAGCAGCCGCGGUAAUACAGAGGUCCCGAGCGUUGUUCGGAUUCACUGGGCGUAAAGGGUGCGUAGGUGGUGAGGUAAGUCGGAUGUGAAAUCUCUGAGCUCAACUCAGAAAUGGCAUUGGAAACUACCUUGCUAGAGGAUUGGAGGGGGGACUGGAAUUCUCGGUGUAGCAGUGAAAUGCGUAGAUAUCGAGAGGAACACCAGUGGCGAAGGCGAGUCCCUGGACAAUUCCUGACACUGAGGCACGAAAGCUAGGGGAGCAAACAGGAUUAGAUACCCCGGU
Molecule: ribosomal RNA, 461 nt
Filed under: uncultured bacterium
Lineage: Bacteria
Description: bacterial SSU rRNA
Rfam family: Bacterial small subunit ribosomal RNA
Source: RNAcentral